UGAGUUUUGCCUAUUUCAGUCAAAUUAAAAUAUUGAAGAGAAACACAAAAUUCAAGGAAAUGAAACAAAACAUUAGGUAGUGGAAUAAUACUUUAGCUUUUUGUUUUGUCCAAAUUUUAUAUUUUAAAAUAUUUUUUAACAAUUGCAUCCUUCUUCACCUUCUCCUUUGUUUCUUUUUGGCUGUCAAACCCCCCUCCUUCAUUUCCCUUUUAUGCUUUUGUCAGUUUUGAGGAAAGAAAGAAAUCUUUGGCUUCAACUUCCACAGUUUCUCCACCAUUUCUUUUCUUUAUCAGUCUUCCUAUCUGUCUCUCUCUGGAGCCUUUACCUUUCUCCCAUGGAGCUUUUCCUUUUCUCCCAUGGUUUUCAUACCUUUCCUCUCUUGGUGGCAUGGCGCUUUCCUUUCAAUUUCAACCUUCUGAUUUCCCUUGAGACAAAGUUCGUUUCUUUUGCUGUUGUCAUUUUCUCAUUAAUGCUGACAAGGAAGACUGAGUAAACCCCAUUCCUUGAAUUCUCUGGUUUGGGGAUUCCUGCUUUCAGACUGCAGUCUUCUUUUCAUCUUUUUAGGGUUUUUGGAGGUUUUAAAGUUCUGGGAUUGGGUAAUUAUGG
Molecule: long non-coding RNA, 606 nt
Filed under: Linum usitatissimum (flax)
Lineage: Eukaryota; Viridiplantae; Streptophyta; Magnoliopsida; Malpighiales; Linaceae
Description: long non-coding RNA (LUSI_LNC005432)
Source: RNAcentral